UACGACAAACUCCCAGGCUGCUUCGGAUGUCGACUUGACCUACGCCCACACACGAUACAACAACACGUUAUCUUAUCUUCGAGUAGGGAUGGAUGGGAACCUUAGAUUCUACACGUAUAAUCCAAACGUGCAAGUCUACGCCUGGGAUGUGGCUUACGAGUUUAUGGGCAGAGAUUCCUUAGAAAGUGAGUGUCAGUUGCCGGAGCGAUGUGGGAAGUUUGGGCUAUGUGAGAAUAGUCAAUGUGUCGCAUGCCCAACACCAAACGGACUAAGUGGGUGGAGCACAGAUUGUGAGGCAAAGAAGGUGACAUCUUGUAAAGCAAGCGACUUUAGCUACUAUAAGCUUGAAGGUGUUAACCAUUUUAUGAUAAGGUACACCAGGGGAGAUGGUGGAACGAAGCAAAGUGAUUGCGAAAGCAAAUGCACCAAGGACUGUAAGUGCAUGGGAUAUUUCUACCACACGGCUGAUUCGAGGUGCUGGAUUGCUUAUGAUUUGAAAACAUUAACUAAAGUCAGAAACUCGACUCAUUUGGCGUAUAUCAAAA
Molecule: long non-coding RNA, 545 nt
Filed under: Lactuca sativa (garden lettuce)
Lineage: Eukaryota; Viridiplantae; Streptophyta; Magnoliopsida; Asterales; Asteraceae
Description: long non-coding RNA (LSAT_LNC007665)
Source: RNAcentral